Molecule: non-coding RNA, 73 nt
Organism: Podarcis lilfordi (Lilford's wall lizard)
Lineage: Eukaryota; Metazoa; Chordata; Lepidosauria; Squamata; Lacertidae
Source: the annotation of a GenBank genome assembly
GCUGGGAUAGCUCAGUUGGUAGAGCAUAAGACUCUUAACCUCAGGGUUGUGAGUUCAAGUCCCAUGCUAGGCA